RNAcentral lists this ribosomal RNA (408 nucleotides) under uncultured bacterium. RNAcentral's name for it is "bacterial SSU rRNA". It matches the Rfam family "Bacterial small subunit ribosomal RNA", at positions 917 to 1322 of the family's 1533-position model. The record is from RNAcentral.
GGGCCCGCACAAGCGGUGGAGCAUGUGGUUUAAUUCGAAGCAACGCGAAGAACCUUACCAGUCCUUGACAUGGGUAGUUUGGUUAUUGGAGACAAUUUCCUUCAGUUCGGCUGGCUACCACACAGGUGCUGCACGGCUGUCGUCAGCUCGUGUCGUGAGAUGUUGGGUUAAGUCCCGCAACGAGCGCAACCCUCAUCUUUAGUUGCCAUCGGUUCGGCCGGGCACUCUAAAGAAACUGCCUGCGAUGAGCAGGAGGAAGGCGGGGACGACGUCAAGUCAUCAUGGCCCUUAUGGACUGGGCUACACACGUGCUACAAUGGCGGUGACAACAGGCAGCGAAGGGGUGACCUGGAGCAAAUCCUAAAAAGCCGUCCCAGUUCGGAUUGGAGUCUGGAACUCGACUCCAUG